This 468-nucleotide ribosomal RNA is filed under the name Triticum aestivum (bread wheat). RNAcentral describes it as "partial small subunit ribosomal RNA". Lineage: Eukaryota; Viridiplantae; Streptophyta; Magnoliopsida; Poales; Poaceae. The record is from RNAcentral.
AUGAGGACAGAGCCAGUGCAUUGGGCUAGGGCCUUUUUUCCAUAUGGAUCAAACUGUGAGUCAGUGGAUAACAACCUAUGUGAGUCUUUCAACAAUGCCAUCAUAGAAUCUAGGUUUUACCCCAUAAUAUCACAGCAAGAGAUGAUAAGGAAGAAGAUGUAUGUCAGAAUCCAGGAACAGAGAAGCAAAUGUGAUAAAUGGCAUGGAACAGUUUGCCCUAACAUUUUUAAGAAACUACAGGGCAAUAUCAAGAGAACUCAGUUCUGUGAGGUGCUUUGGAAUGGCAAGGAUGGAUUUGAGGUCAAGCAUUUGACUGGCAGAGGAAGGAGAUAUACAGUGAACCUUGAGAGGAAGACAUGCUCAUGUGGAUAUCUACAGCUGGCAGGCCUUCCUUGUUGUCAUGCAAUUUGUGCUAUAUACAAAAGUGGCAGAACAGUAGAAGAAUUCAUUGACCCAUGCAGACAUUGA